AUAGCUAUCUGGGGUAUCACCGCUCAAACAGGGCAAGCACCGAAUGACCCGGCUUUCAUGUCUUUGCAGGGGAAAAUCAAGCCUUUUAACAUGGGGCCAUAAUCCAAAGGCAACAGGCGAGCAACCAGGCUUCUCCAAUGCAAUGUGGCGAGAUAGGUCUCGUCACACUUAUACGGAGGCCUUGUCCUCCUUGUAACUCAUACAUAGAGCAUAUAGUAGGUACAUAUACAGAGGCUGUGUCCUCAUUGUAACUCAUACUGAGAGUAUAUAGUGGAUACAUAUACUGAGGUGGUGUCCU
Pelobates cultripes (western spadefoot toad) is the source of this 298-nucleotide non-coding RNA. NCBI's taxonomy places the organism in Eukaryota, Metazoa, Chordata, Amphibia, Anura, Pelobatidae. The record is from the annotation of a GenBank genome assembly.